RNAcentral lists this ribosomal RNA (573 nucleotides) under Peptostreptococcus stomatis. Its description in RNAcentral is "bacterial SSU rRNA". It matches the Rfam family "Bacterial small subunit ribosomal RNA", at positions 380 to 971 of the family's 1533-position model. Lineage: Bacteria; Bacillati; Bacillota; Clostridia; Peptostreptococcales; Peptostreptococcaceae. The record is from RNAcentral.
AGCCUGAUGCAGCAACGCCGCGUGAACGAUGAAGGUCUUCGGAUCGUAAAGUUCUGUUGCAGGGGAAGAUAAUGACGGUACCCUGUGAGGAAGCCCCGGCUAACUACGUGCCAGCAGCCGCGGUAAUACGUAGGGGGCUAGCGUUAUCCGGAUUUACUGGGCGUAAAGGGUGCGUAGGUGGUUCUUCAAGUCGGUGGUUAAAGGCUACGGCUCAACCGUAGUAAGCCGCCGAAACUGGAGGACUUGAGUGCAGGAGAGGAAAGUGGAAUUCCCAGUGUAGCGGUGAAAUGCGUAGAUAUUGGGAGGAACACCAGUAGCGAAGGCGGCUUUCUGGACUGCAACUGACACUGAGGCACGAAAGCGUGGGUAGCAAACAGGAUUAGAUACCCUGGUAGUCCACGCUGUAAACGAUGAGUACUAGGUGUCCGGGGUUACCCCCCUCGGUGCCGCAGCUAACGCAUUAAGUACUCCGCCUGGGGAGUACGCACGCAAGUGUGAGACUCAAAGGAAUUGACGGGGGACCCGCACAAGUAUCGGAGCAUGUGGUCUAAUUCGAAGCAACGCGAAGAACCU